UGUCUCUCUCUUCGUCACUUUACUCUGUAAUGCACUGUUUCUUCUCCACCCCACAGCUUUUUACUGUUGCCAUUGCGCCACCGUGAACACCAGUGAGCCACCUGCAUCGUCUUCACCUCCGUGCUUCUGCUAUCAGGGCCGCUACUUUUGCCAAAGUUGAAACCACAUCAGUUUUUCCAGAUGGAUGAUUACGAAAUUUAUUCUGAGAUUGAAGAAUAAGGAUAGCAAAUUUAUGCAUGUGUCUUCCUUCAAGGAUAACCAGCUUCUUUCCCCCCUGGUUAUUUUGGCAUCAUGGACAGGAAGGUAUGAAGCUCAUUUGUGGGACAAGAAUUGCUGGAAUGAAUCACAAAACAAGAAA
Molecule: non-coding RNA, 358 nt
Organism: Camellia sinensis
Lineage: Eukaryota; Viridiplantae; Streptophyta; Magnoliopsida; Ericales; Theaceae
Source: RefSeq, a predicted model, not a curated record